GAUGAGAACGUAGCGAAAUGCGAUAAGUAAUGUGAAUUGCAGAAUUCAGUGAAUCAUCGAAUCUUUGAACGCACAUUGCGCCCGCCAGUAUUCUGGCGGGCAUGCCUGUUCGAGCGUCAUUACAACCCUCAGGCCCCCGGGCCUGGCGUUGGGGAUCGGCGGAGCCCCCCGUGGGCACACGCCGUCCCCCAAAUGCAGUGGCGGUCCCGCCGCAGCUUCCAUCGCGUAGUAGCUAACACCUCGCGACUGGAGAGCGGCGCGGCCACGCCGUAAAACACCCAACUCUUCUGAAGUUGACCUCGAAUCAGGUAGGAAUACCCGCUGAACUUAAGCAUAUCAAUAAGCGGAGGA
This 351-nucleotide unclassified non-coding RNA is filed under the name soil metagenome. RNAcentral's name for it is "partial contains 5.8S ribosomal RNA, internal transcribed spacer 2, and large subunit ribosomal RNA". The stretch from base 5 to 119 matches the Rfam family "5.8S ribosomal RNA", at positions 40 to 154 of the family's 154-position model. The record is from RNAcentral.